This 1359-nucleotide long non-coding RNA is filed under the name Anser brachyrhynchus (Pink-footed goose). Its description in RNAcentral is "lncRNA (ENSABRG00000018117.1)". The record is from RNAcentral. Lineage: Eukaryota; Metazoa; Chordata; Aves; Anseriformes; Anatidae.
CAACAGUGUAAUAUUUUUGCAAAAAUGUAUCAUUCUUAUGGCAGUUUUGGAAGGUUUCAUCAGACUACUGGAUGAACAGAGUGGGAGACAAAUACACAGCAAGACUGCUCUGAAGUUAGGACAUGGACCUGGGAUGUAGAGGGCUAAGGCCUGAUGAAGACUGGGGACAAAGGGUGAAAGAUCAGCAGUCCCGGGUAACUGGGGACCCAAACCUGCAAAUCACCGAAAGCUCCAGAAACGUCACGAGAUGUGGGUCACUGGCUCUCCUCCCGUCUCGGCCCUCAGACGAGCUUGUUGGUGCAAAUAAUCCCAUGGGAUUUCCAUGUAGGCUACUGCUUUUGAAUGGCGGGAGUACAAGGAUACAAAUUCGGAAGUUCUUUGCAAACAAGGAAAAGAGAGAACUGGAUUUCAAACUGGAGCUAGAAAAUGACAGCGUCACUUGUGUCCUGUCCCCCGACUCCCUGGGUUCUUGACCAAACCUGAGAGAUCCAUCAUCUACACUUGAAGAAGGUACUCUGUCAGAAUGCAGAAAGCUAAUGUUAUUCCUGGUAAGCACUGAUUUUAAAUCUGCCUAUAACAACUCUCAGUGCUUUCCUUGCCUCAGUUUGUCAUAUCUUUGAUCUUGGUGAAGAAUAAGGAAAGCACCAAGAACAUUCUGGCUUUUAAGCUGAAUUCUCAGUUUUAUAAUAGGUGGUCACGUGUGAUAUAGAGUUAGUCAUGCAGUGGCUCAACAGUAAUAAGCUAUGCAACCACACUCUUUCGUUGAUAUUCAGAAAACAAACUUUGUAAGCUUUGUGCAUCAUCUCAAUCUGAUGCUCUUGGUUAGGUCUGAUCCAAACAAGUAGUAGUUACUGAUAGAUGACAUUAUUGGAUUUAUAAAGGAGAAGUCAUAUAGAACCUGGCAAUAGAAUAACAUACCAAACCCAGAAACUUUCAUCAUACUCUUAUCUCAGUGCAAUAACCAAACGUACUGACUGGUUGCACAUAACUUAUUUAUGUAAAUGGGUUCUGUAUGUGUUUCUAGGGUGCCUAUUGUUUCCUUGAAAACCUUCUAGAGCACUCCUCAUUUUUUGGAAGGAGUAGGGAUUUGAUUAGACACUUCUAGAAACGUACUAAUUCUAGGUGUCACUUUUUGGACUUAUCUCCUUAAGAUGCCUCUUGGUGUCAACGAGUAAAGAUAAACUCAUGCUCCUAGGUGACUAGGGAUGGUGGGGAAAGGAGGAAUCACAAGGAAGGGAUUAAGGUUGCUACAAUACAUAAUUAAAAUAGACUUACUGCGGGAUACUUUAAAUAUUUUAAUGUUUAUGUAUUCUGGAUUCUCAAAAAAAUGUAGUUAUGAUAGCAGGUGUAAGAGGGAAA